This 431-nucleotide ribosomal RNA is filed under the name uncultured bacterium. RNAcentral describes it as "bacterial SSU rRNA". It matches the Rfam family "Bacterial small subunit ribosomal RNA", at positions 28 to 479 of the family's 1533-position model. The record is from RNAcentral.
GAUGAACGCUGGCGGCGCGCCUAACACAUGCAAGUCGAACGGCACCCCUCUCCGGAGGGAAGCGAGUGGCGAACGGCUGAGUAACACGUGGAGAACCUGCCCCCUCCCCCGGGAUAGCCGCCCGAAAGGACGGGUAAUACCGGAUACCCCGGGGUGCCGCAUGGCACCCCGGCUAAAGCCCCGACGGGAGGGGAUGGCUCCGCGGCCCAUCAGGUAGACGGCGGGGUGACGGCCCACCGUGCCGACAACGGGUAGCCGGGUUGAGAGACCGACCGGCCAGAUUGGGACUGAGACACGGCCCAGACUCCUACGGGAGGCAGCAGUGGGGAAUCUUGCGCAAUGGGGGGAACCCUGACGCAGCGACGCCGCGUGCGGGACGGAGGCCUUCGGGUCGUAAACCGCUUUCAGCAGGGAAGGGUCAAGACUGUACC